This 253-nucleotide ribosomal RNA is filed under the name uncultured bacterium. RNAcentral's name for it is "partial 16S ribosomal RNA". It matches the Rfam family "Bacterial small subunit ribosomal RNA", at positions 524 to 776 of the family's 1533-position model. The record is from RNAcentral.
AACGUAGGAGACAAACGUUACCCGGAGUUACUGGGCGUAAAGGGCGUGUAGGUGGUUUCGUAAGUCUGGCGUGAAAUUUCUCGGCUUAACCGAGGCAGGUCGUCGGAUACUGCGGAACUUGAGGACGGUAGAGGCGUGUGGAAUUCCGGGUGUAGUGGUGAAAUGCGUAGAGAUCCGGAGGAACACCAGUGGCGAAGGCGACACGCUGGGCCGUACCUGACACUGAUGCGCGACAGCAUGGGGAGCAAACAGG